This 331-nucleotide ribosomal RNA is filed under the name uncultured eukaryote. RNAcentral's name for it is "partial 18S ribosomal RNA". It matches the Rfam family "Eukaryotic small subunit ribosomal RNA", at positions 592 to 976 of the family's 1831-position model. The record is from RNAcentral.
CAAUAGCGUAUAUUAAAGUUGUUGCAGUUAAAAAGCUCGUAGUUGAAUUUCGGGUGCUCGUAGUCGGUCCUUCAUUGGGCUGGCGCGUGUGCUCUCCCCGCCUUUGGCGGCCUUUACUGUGAAAAAAUUAGAGUGUUCAAAGCAGGCAAUCGCUUGAAUACAUUAGCAUGGAAUAAUAAGAUAGGAUCUUGUCUAUUUUGUUGGUUGCGGACAAAGAUAAUGAUUAAUAGGGAUAGUUGGGGGUGUCCGUAUUGAGCUGUCAGAGGUGAAAUUCUUGGAUUUGCUCAAGACGAACUGCUGCGAAAGCGUUCACCAUGGAUGUUUUCAUUAA